This 787-nucleotide ribosomal RNA is filed under the name Actinomycetota bacterium. RNAcentral's name for it is "bacterial SSU rRNA". It matches the Rfam family "Bacterial small subunit ribosomal RNA", at positions 1 to 775 of the family's 1533-position model. The record is from RNAcentral. Lineage: Bacteria; Bacillati; Actinomycetota.
AGUUCGGAGAGUUUGAUCUUGGCUCAGGACGAACGCUGACGGUGUGCUUUAGACAUGCAAGUCGAACGAGAAAGCCCUUCGGGGUGAGUACAGUGGCGAACGGGUGAGUAACACGUGGGUAACCUACCCCUCGCAGGGGGAUAACCGGGGGAAACCCCGGCUAAUACCCCGUACGCUUGCCGGGCCGCAUGGUCCGGUAAGGAAAGGUAGCUUCGGCCAUCCGGCGAGGGAUGGGCCCGCGGUGCAUUAGCUAGUUGGUGGGGUAACGGCCCACCAAGGCUACGAUGCAUAGCUGGUCUGAGAGGAUGAUCAGCCACACUGGGACUGAGACACGGCCCAGACUCCUACGGGAGGCAGCAGUCGGGAAUCUUGCGCAAUGGGCGAAAGCCUGACGCAGCAACACCGUGUGAGCGACGAAGGCCUUCGGGUCGUAAAGCUCUGUUGUUGGGGACGAAGGGCGAAGGGUUAAUAGCCCCUAGCUUGACGGUACCCUUCGAGGAAGCCCCGGCUAACUACGUGCCAGCAGCCGCGGUAAUACGUAGGGGGCGAGCGUUGUCCGGAAUUAUUGGGCGUAAAGAGCGUGUAGGCGGUUCGGUAAGUCUGCCGUGAAAACCUGGGGCUCAACCCUGGGCGUGCGGUGGAUACUGCCGGGCUAGAGGAUGGUAGAGGCGAGCGGAAUUCCCGGUGUAGCGGUGAAAUGCGCAGAUAUCGGGAGGAACACCAGUAGCGAAGGCGGCUCGCUGGGCCAUUCCUGACGCUGAGACGCGAAAGCUAGGGGAGCGAACAG